CAUGCAAGUCGUACGAGAGUUUUUAACUCAAGUGGCGGACGGGUGAGUAACACGUAAGAAUUUACCUUUAGGAGGGGGACAACAAUUGGAAACGAUUGCUAAUACCCCAUAUGCUUUCGAGUGAAAUGGAAUUUUCCGCCUGGAGAGAAGCUUGCGGCUGAUUAGCUUGUUGGUAAGGUAAUGGCUUACCAAGGCGACGAUCAGUAUCUGGUUUGAGAGGACGAUCAGACACACUGGAACUGAGACACGGUCCAGACUCCUACGGGAGGCAGCAGUGGGGAAUUUUCCGCAAUGGGCGAAAGCCUGACGGAGCAAUACCGCGUGAGGGAUGACGGCCUAUGGGUUGUAAACCUCUUUUUUCAGGGAGGAAUCAAUGACGUGUACCUGAAGAAUAAGCAUCGGCUAACUCCGUGCCAGCAGCCGCGGUAAGACGGAGGAUGCAAGUGUUAUCCGGAAUCACUGGGCGUAAAGCGUCUGUAGGUGGUCUAAUAAGUCAACUGUUAAAUCUUGAGGCUCAACUUCAAAAUCGCAGUCGAAACUAUUAGACUAGAGUAUAGUAGGGGUAAAGGGAAUUUCCAGUGGAGCGGUGAAAUGCGUAGA
This 600-nucleotide ribosomal RNA is filed under the name uncultured cyanobacterium. RNAcentral's name for it is "bacterial SSU rRNA". It matches the Rfam family "Bacterial small subunit ribosomal RNA", at positions 54 to 694 of the family's 1533-position model. The record is from RNAcentral. Lineage: Bacteria; Bacillati; Cyanobacteriota.